RNAcentral lists this ribosomal RNA (310 nucleotides) under uncultured bacterium. Its description in RNAcentral is "bacterial SSU rRNA". It matches the Rfam family "Bacterial small subunit ribosomal RNA", at positions 30 to 334 of the family's 1533-position model. The record is from RNAcentral.
AUUGAACGCUGGCGGCAGGCCUAACACAUGCAAGUCGAGCGGUAACAGAUCUAGCUUGCUAGAUGCUGACGAGCGGCGGACGGGUGAGUAACGCGUAGGAAUCUACCCAGUAGCGGGGGAUAAGCCAGAGAAAUUUGGAUUAAUACCUCAUAAUAUUUUUAACUCGCAUGAGUUUUAAAUUAAAACUUCGGUGGUAAAAGAUGGGCAUGCGUUCUAUUAGUUUGUUGGUAAGGUAACGGCUUACCAAGACUACGAUAGAUAGGGGUUCUGAGAGGAUAGUCCCCCACACUGGUACUGAGACACGGACCAG